Mustela putorius furo (domestic ferret) is the source of this 2442-nucleotide long non-coding RNA. The record is from Ensembl. Lineage: Eukaryota; Metazoa; Chordata; Mammalia; Carnivora; Mustelidae.
AUGAUAAUGAAGACAAUGGUUGAUGAUGGCCAGCUCCUGGCAUGCUGUAGCCAAUUCUUCUUUGAAGAGAAUGAUGAAGCAAUUUGCCCACGCCAUUUGGUGAGUAGAUGGUGGACCCAAGAUUUGAACCAUCUCCCAUAUCUUGUGCAUCAUGGAUUUCCCACAAGGACCAUGUUCUGUGUACCAAGUGAGCUCUCUUCCUCCCCUGAGGUUGCACUCACUAGGGUUUUGAUCAUCCCAGACAAGGCAUUUUGUGUUCCCCCUCUACCCAUCCGCCAACCACCUCACCUGCCACCCCCAGUACAUUCAUUCUUCCCUCUCCCAAACUGUGGUUCUGGACCUAGGGAACUAAAUCUAUCCCUAAUGGCUAAUACCUCGGUAAGCAUGAAAGCACUUUUGCUGUCGUUGGAUGCUAAUUUUGUUGGAGGUGUUUGGGCGAUGUUCUCAACCCUAGCACUUGGCAUCUGGAAGCCCUUCCAUAUGUCAAAACCUUUCAGUGUAAAAUGAAAAGGCUUGCAUGGCUGGGGUGGUGGGGUACGCCCCCCCGUCCACGUGACCCCCAUUUGCAGUUGGUUCCACACGUGGUUCUGUAUCCCUGAGCUCCACCGAAACCCCCACCGGCUGCGCAACAGGGAACGCCUGGCAAAGUGGUUAGCCAUGGUGUCUCUGUCCGUGACCUUGGCCUCUAUGGCCUGCAGGCCCAGCAGCUGCCCCAACAUCUCCGCUGGUUGGAACCCGACUUCCUCAGGUGGGUUUCCUCCAAGCUUCAUCAUGUCAGAUUCAAAGGCCGCUGCUGAGAACCCCCACAAGAAGACCAGGACCUCUCCAUACCCUGGUUCCAAAGUGGAGGGAAGCCAGGUCCCGGACAAGAAGGUAAGCUGGCAGGCUGAGUGGCUGGAGUACAAGCCUGUCCAGUACACAGCCAGUUCUGUCUUGACCUGGUCCAUGUGGGCAGACCCUCUGGUGGGUGACAGGAACUUCUCUUCUAAAUUCAAUGAGGAGGGUGGGCAUGUUGAAAGAAGGAGCCAAAAUGGUUUGUAUGAGGUGGAGAAUGGCAGGCAUAGAAAUCCCGCAGGUUGGCCAGUGCUGGUGGGCAGAGGGCUUCUAGGGUGGUGGGGUCCCAAUUAGGCUGCAGAUCCCAUCUUAACUAAGUGGAAAAAUGAUAGCAAGGGGAAGAAAAUUAUCCAUCCUGCUUCUAAGAGGAUUGUCCUGCAAUUUGUAGCCAUCAAAAGGAAGGACUGUGGAGAAUGGACCAUCCCAGGGGAAAUGGUGGAGCCAGGAAAGAAAAUUAGUACCAUACUGAAGACAGAAUUUGGGGAGGAAGCCAUGAACUCCUUAUAGAAAUCUAGAGCAAAGACUUCGGAGCUGGAGAAACAGCUGCACAAACUAUUCGAUCAGUAACACUUGGUGUCUAUAAAGGUUACAUGGAUGAUCCCCGCAACACAGAUAACUCGUGAAUGGAGACAGAGGCUGUGAACUACCACGAUGAUACAGGUGAGAUAACCGACUGUCUUCAUCUGGAAGCUGGUGAUGAUACCCAGAAAGUGAAAUGGGUAGACAUCAAUGAUCAACUCAAACUUUACGCCAGGCAGUCCCAAUUUAUUCAAUACAUGGUUGAGAAAUGAGGUGCCCAUUGGAGGGAAGGCAUGGACCCCAAUGCCAUGAAUAGUGACUUGGAGUCUCCCAAAAGCCUUCAAAUGGACAUGGGUCUAUAUGAAACAAACAGCCCGGAACCUGUGCUGAACAGGGGAUAGAGGGAACUUCUUUUGAUGAUUAUUUGCAAAACUGUCCGCCCUGUGAAGGCUUUGUGUCAGGGAAUAAUAUUUGAAAAAUACAGGCAUUCAGGAUAAAAACCAUUUUGGUUUUCCAAUUGGAAGAGGAAUAUAGUCAUUUGUUGUAUACGUUGUAUACUUGGCUGGUAAUCACAUUAUGCAACUACUGCUCUUUGAAGAGUCAUAGUUGAUACAAAGAUAACUUCUUACCAACUGUAGCCUUUUUUUUUCCAGCUAGUUUACAUUUGUCACUCCCCACCCCCCCACCCCGCCACUGAUGUGUUCGAGUGUGGUCUAAUCUAAUGUUGAACCUGAUUUUUUGGGAUAACAUUUGUUUUUCAAGUUGAGCUUCAGGUGGACUUCUAUUUAUUGCCUUCAAGAAUGAAAGCACUCUGGUUAUUCUUGUUUUUAGGAUCUUUAGUUUUAUGGGAAAAGUUUCAUCUCUAUUUUACUUAUGAAUGAGCUAGAAAAAUAAGACGCAGCAACAAAAUGAGCUUAAUAUCCAGCCCUCUGGUUACAAGAACUAUUUCUGAACAGAAUGGACUAAGCUCAGGAUAUGUGUUUCCUCUCAUCUCAGAAGACUCAAUAAAUGUGAAUUUCUGUCAUAAAGAAGUCUUUGUCAGAAGAUGUAUGUAAAUCUCAACCUAAUAAAAAUACAGUUCAUUUCUGC